Molecule: long non-coding RNA, 1157 nt
Organism: Parambassis ranga (Indian glassy fish)
Lineage: Eukaryota; Metazoa; Chordata; Actinopteri; Ambassidae
Source: Ensembl
CUCUGUCUUCAUUAGAGGAUCUGCUGGCACAGGAAACAUCAGCGGGAAUGUCUAACAGAGGACCAAGCGGAGAGUAUUACCGCCGCGAUGAUGGCCACAGAGACGAUCUCCAAGGAGGCGGUCGCCACAUAGACGAUGGCUACGGAGGGCCUCGCCAACAAGACGAUACCUACAGAGGGAGUCAGCGCACGGACGACAGUAGCUACUGUGCAGUACAGUGCGAGCGUCACGACGACUGCACGAUGAUCGCCAGCCAUAGCAGCUGGUGGUCAUGGUGUACAGUUUUGUAACGUGCCAGCUGUUCUCGCUGACACUGCAGGAUCAUGUUUACUGUAAAAGACGUCACCAAUAAACUAUAAACAACCAAUCAGGCGUCUCCUCUUCUUCUGUCACACCAGCUGACUUCAUGUCCUCCCAGCACAUCUAUGUCUCCUCUUUGACCUCUUGCCUGGCAGCUGUCCCUCCUCUGCACACGUCCAAACCCUUAAACCUGCGUCUCCUCUACCUCCAUCCUCACCUGAGAAAUGACUAACGUCCUCCUUGCUGUUGUUGUAAUGAACGUUCUGAGGUCUUCAUGACACACUGUGAUGAGUCCACGCUCACACUCUGCUGCCAGCCUCUUCUUCUUCUUCUGUCUGACCUCAGGCGACCUGCAGAGACGGACAGAGUCAGUGCUGAUGUCCACACUCAUGUGACUGCACUUUCUUUUGGUGUUUGAUGUUCUUCUGACACAUCUGUGAGAUGAGCAGCAUGGAUGUUUGUGUUGUUUGGGAAUGUUUCACAGUCAACGCCUCUUCCACUGAACAGUGCGGACGUGCCAGAGUAUUUAAAGGAAGAGCAUCAGCAUCAUUCUGACAGAAGGCACAGCUGUGGACUGCUGCUCCGGUCAGGUGAGUACAACAUUCUGGUUUCUCUCCUUAGUUUGAACAGAGGAUAAACAGAUGAAAGGGUUUUAUUCCAGAGGCGGUGAUGCGUUUGAUGUCUUGCUUUGGAUCUGACAGAACAUACGUAAACAGAUAUGUGUUUCUAAAGGAUAAUGUCGUGCAGAUAUCGAGCCUGUAAGCCUCUGUGUAUCUUGUCAAACUGGUUUAACUGACAUGUGAACGGGCUCCUCCCUGUGUGCUGCAGUCCUGAUUCAUUAAAGGAUCGUCUGACAC